CCGUCUACUCUGGAAAGUUUUGGUUUUCUCAGUUUUUUCCAUUUUCACAGUAUAUUGAUAAUUCAUAUCUAAUUCUGAAUAUUUAUGGGAUGCAUUAUCUGGUUGUUGUACGUAAAUCCUUGUUUGAUUGUUACAGGAUGUUAGAGGCUUACACGAUGCAUUUCAUAGAUAGAUAUACAGAUGGUAUUGGACCUUUCACUUGUUUCUGUUUUUUUUCAGUGUGAUCAUCAUUGGUGGAUUUGGCAUUGGACAAGUUUGAAUACAUCACAUUUCAAUCAAGUUUGUGUUCUACAUGUUAUUCAGGACUUUGUUUGAAUUCCUGACGUUAUAUUAGACUGUUUUUUCGCAUCAAAGAAAGAGGAAGUCAUGUGUCUGUCAGGGCUUUAUAUAUGGAUGUGAUGCCUGUUACUGAUUGGUUUAAAGUUUAUUGAUUGACUUGUGCUGCUGGAGGCAUAAAGUAUAGAAAGUUAUGCAAAAUACUCCUCCUGUCAUUACUAAAAUGAAGAUUAUAGAUACACUACGUUAGCAUAAUAUACAUAUAAUUGUAGAUGUAUACACACUAAUAUGAUUUGAUUUUUAGAGAAAAGCAAGAAUGAAGCCUUAGGGGUCAGACAUACGAAAGGACUAUGUGGGUAUAAAGGGUCCUAAACUCUAAAUUGUUUAAUUACAAGAAAUAUUGCCUCAGAGGGUGAAAGAGUGAAGGACGACCUGCCUUUCCUCUAACACUCCCCCCAGGUAUACCCACAAUGGUAAAGAUAACUCGUGGGGCACGUAUAGAAUGACAAUAACACGGCAAGGGAGAGACUGUUUGAAUAUAGUUCUUUCUACUUAUUACAAGUUGAAUAUAUAAAGGGAAGGUAGAGACCAUCUGAAUAUAGUCCCAUCUACUUAUUAUAAGUUGAAGAUAUACAGGUUACAAUAUCCUGAGCUCUCAUCAUAUAUUUAGAAUCAGAUAUUAUUUAAACCAAUUGUAAUAUAUUGCCAGCUACUAGCUUUUGACUUCAAUCCCCCAAGUAAGAUAUCUGACUAUUAUGUUGAUCGCAUAGACCAACUUAUUAGUAGCCUUUUACAGUCAGCUAUAUACAUAUAUACAUACAAGAGACUAUUUAGGCAGCAUCGAGCCUUCCCUUUUUAAAUUCACUAGCACUGUGUGUUUCACUUAUGUCACUAUUUUUUGUCCUUAAAGAUAUUUUUAAAUAGAAUUUAAUAAAGAUAUGUUUUAGUUUCAACCUCUAUUCUAUACGUGUCCCACGAGUUAUCUUUACCAUUGUGGGUAUACCUGGGGGGAGUGUUAGAGGAAAGGCAGGUCGCCCAAUUUUUCUCGUAAUGAUUAGAUUUUUGUAUAGAUGAAUGUAUUUAUCAGUUAUUCGUAUAGGUUAGAUGAAUAAAUGAUAUAAACAUAACAUCUAAUGAUUUAUAUAACCAAACCGGUCUUUGGUUACAGAAUAUCCAUAACCAAAGACCAAUGUUUAACCCCUUCAGGACUGGACUGUUUUGGCCAUAUUGUAUGUAAAGGACCAGGGCUGUUUUAACACUAUUGUGGUGUUUGUGUUUAGCUGUAAUUUUCCUCUCAUUUACUGUUCCCAUACAAGUUAUAUAUAUUUUUUUUCAGGACAAGAAGGCCGUUCUUUACAGACCAUUAUUUGUAUCAUGUCAUAAUUUACUUUAAAAAAAAUAAAAUAUGGUGACAAAUUUAAAAAAAACAAACAAAAAACAUGUUUGACUUUUACUUGAAAAAUCUUUUACUUAUCUACAAAAGCCAAUGAAAAAAAAACGCUAAAUAGAUUCAAAAUUUUGUCCUGACUUUUUAAAACAUGGAGAGCAAAAAACAGGUCGCAAGAGUAUUCUGAGAACGGACAGCAACUGAAAUAGCCUCAAGCUGGUUUUAGCUCAUCUUGUGCCAUUACAGAGAGAACAUCUCAAACAUAUCAGACUGGUCCCACCCAUACGGGGAGUACAGAUCCGAAAUGCCAGCAAGUUCCCUCUGGACGAGAGACACAGCAACCCCAGACGAUCGUUUUAGCCUUGUUAGGCAUCAUCAGUGAGGCAAAACUGAUAUCUAGUCAGAGUGAGCAAGGGGUCCACGUCUGGAUUACCCUUUAAACUUAUGGAGAGCAAAAACCAGGUCGCAAGAGUAUUCGGAGUUUAAAAACACCUAGUGUUUACAUGCCUUUUUUUUGUGCAAGUUAUACGGCUAUAAGUACAAGUAGGAAAUUGCUGUUUCAAAAUAUAUAUUUUUAAAAUGUAUCAGUAGUGACGUUGUAACACUUAUCUGUCAAAUCUCUGAAUCACACCUCACAUGUACAUAUUUUUUUUUUUAAAGUAGACAACCCGGGGUAUUCAAUAUGGGGUAUGUCCAGUC
RNAcentral lists this long non-coding RNA (2362 nucleotides) under Pelobates cultripes (western spadefoot toad). The record is from RNAcentral. Lineage: Eukaryota; Metazoa; Chordata; Amphibia; Anura; Pelobatidae.